This 926-nucleotide long non-coding RNA is filed under the name Agrilus planipennis (emerald ash borer). Its description in RNAcentral is "uncharacterized LOC108742009, transcript variant X1". Lineage: Eukaryota; Metazoa; Arthropoda; Insecta; Coleoptera; Buprestidae. The record is from RNAcentral.
UGAGUGAAGAUUUAAAAGAAAAGAAAUUUGAUUCCUUCAUUGGUAGUAGUUGUAGCAGUUCUACAGUUCAAGCCCCCAUUGGUAUUAUUAGAAAUGCUACGUGCGCAUUUUCGUCAUAUAUUCAUAGAUAUUUAUCUAAUACUCUACUAGCUACGUACAUGUACAUGCAUAUAAGUAUGUGUAUAGGUAUCUUUGAGGAGGGAAGAUGGUACCUAGUAUAUGUGCUGAUAUAAAGAGAAUGGUGAAAUGCGAAGACGGGAGACAGAUAAUCCACGGGCGUCGCAAUGGGUCGGGCCCUUUUUUCGUCGGUAACCGUGAAAUUACCUACCGCGCCAAAUUGAUGCGCUCCACAGAUAAAACGCGAAACCUAAUAAUGUACGCGACGGCGUCGUCGCUAGCGUCGUCGUCGACAUCGGCGUUUCUACCGGCAAAGUCACUUAUUCAUACGGAGAAGUUCCACGUCUUAUCUAUAAUGGGCUUUGCAUUCAAACAAAUCGCGAAACGCCGAGAGGAGUAGUUCGUUCAAACGAAAAUUGGGUUGAACUGAAUUGAUACGAUAAACAGAGACGCCAAGGAACUCACUCGCCUCAGGCAAAUAUAAGGAUAUUAGCAGGAAUGGAGCAGAAAUGCCAUUAUAGAUGGGGUGAAUGAAGCAUCCGAUGGGAAGAUGGCUGAUGCCAAUAAAGCGGUGCCUCGAUUUUAUGGGCAGCGCUUAAGCGUCAGUUAAUUGUCAGCAAGUUCCUGACAGUUUUAUCUUCGUAUUUAUGGGCAGCUAUGCAGAAUGAAUAUUUACGAACCCGAGUCUCGAAAAAAUCCCACUUACCAGGACAGCAGGAAACGCGAUCUCGAGAAAUACGGGCCUGCCCGCCCGUAUUAACCGACAAUCCCUUCUAAGCUACGACGAUAUGUCUACAUACGCAUUCUAC